CCUACGGGAGGCAGCAGUGGGGAAUAUUGCACAAUGGGCGAAAGCCUGAUGCAGCGACGCCGCGUGAGGGAUGACGGCCUUCGGGUUGUAAACCUCUUUCAGUAGGGAAGAAGCGAAAGUGACGGUACCUGCAGAAGAAGCACCGGCUAACUACGUGCCAGCAGCCGCGGUAAU
Molecule: ribosomal RNA, 174 nt
Filed under: uncultured Micrococcus sp.
Lineage: Bacteria; Bacillati; Actinomycetota; Actinomycetes; Micrococcales; Micrococcaceae
Description: partial 16S ribosomal RNA
Rfam family: Bacterial small subunit ribosomal RNA
Source: RNAcentral